This 520-nucleotide unclassified non-coding RNA is filed under the name uncultured Glomus. Its description in RNAcentral is "SSU rRNA". It matches the Rfam family "Eukaryotic small subunit ribosomal RNA", at positions 569 to 1090 of the family's 1831-position model. The record is from RNAcentral. Lineage: Eukaryota; Fungi; Glomeromycota; Glomeromycetes; Glomerales; Glomeraceae.
AGCAGCCGCGGUAAUUCCAGCUCCAAUAGCGUAUAUUGAAGUUGUUGCAGUUAAAAAGCUCGUAGUUGAAUUUCGGGAUUAAUAUGUUGGUCGUGCCUUGGUACGUACUGGCAUUAUUGAUUCCUACCUUCUGAAGAACCUCGAUGUCAUUAAUUUGGUGUCUUGGGGAAUCAGGACCGUUACUUUGAAAAAAUUUAGAGUGUUUAAAGCAGGCUCGCGCUUGAAUACAUUAGCAUGGAAUAAUGAAAUAGGACGUUUGAUUCUAUUUUGUUGGUUUCUAGGAUCGACGUAAUGAUUAAUAGGGAUAGUUGGGGGCAUUAGUAUUCAAUUGUCAGAGGUGAAAUUCUUGGAUUUAUUGAAGACUGACUACUGCGAAAGCAUUUGCCAAGGAUGUUUUCAUUAAUCAAGAACGAAAGUUAGGGGAUCGAAGACGAUCAGAUACCGUCGUAGUCUUAACCAUAAACUAUGCCGACUAGGGAUCGGAUGAUGUUAAUUUUUUAAUGACUCAUUCGGCGCCUUA